Microcebus murinus (gray mouse lemur) is the source of this 1505-nucleotide non-coding RNA. The record is from RefSeq and is a predicted model, not a curated record. Lineage: Eukaryota; Metazoa; Chordata; Mammalia; Primates; Cheirogaleidae.
UCUCAGCCCGGAGCGCGCACGCUGGUGUCGGGAGCGCGCACGGCGAGGGGCGGGGCCUUGCCAAAAUGAUUGGCGUUCCAUGGCUGGGCUCCUCCGCCCGCCCACCCGGGCACCGCUCAGCCUCAGGGUCGCGAGCUGUGGAAGUGGCGUAGCCAGAGUACCCCGUACUGUGUCGUGUUUCCCGCUGGCCCGAGCCCGUCUGCUCGACAGCGAGCCUCAGCGUGCGUUUGAUACCUCAGUUUAUCUUUCCGUCGUGCGCCUGAGGGUGAUGGAAAAGAACACUUGAAAACCUGACAAGGACGAGGCGUUGUUGCUCAGCUCUUGACAGAAUUACAACUUUGCCAGUAACUAUCCCUAUUUCACAGAUGAGGAAGGGGAAGCUCGAACUUAUUCAGUGACUCUGUUGAAGUGAACAUAAUUCGCGAGAGAAAGACAGGAUUUCAUUCUCGCCCCCAAAUUGCAUGUAUUAGAGACUAUUCUGAGGAAAACAGCGUUGCCGUCGCCCCCAGACACACACGCAACGAUUAUGAGAAGAAAUAACGUGAGGAGCCCAGUUCCCGAGAUUGACCCCACGGCCUGUACUGAGCUCAAGGCCCCUCUCUCUAGCUUAGCAGUGAACCGCCUUGUAGUCACAGCUUUGUACGCUAGACAGCCGAAGGGACCUUGGGAAUCGCAGAUCUCGUCCUUCUCUGUUUUAUAUAGGUGAGUACACUGUGGCCCAGCGAUCGGAAGUGACCAGCUCCUUUUUAAAACAAGAUCCCAAGAAGCAUCUACUCCGUUCCAUCUGCCAAGUAAAUCAAGCUCAGAUAGAACUGGCAGUUCUACAUUUUAAGGCAGAAUCCUUCUUGGUCCAGCACCAAUGUGACCUCCUCCUCCUGCUACUGCUACACCCCUGGAUUCAGCUAUGGUUCAUGCAAGAAAUUGUGAAGCCACAGAAGAGGGAGAUUUCUAUGAAGAUUGAUGGAGCUUGGUGAAAGAAGUCAUUUCCUGGCUUCCUCCACCCUUCAAAGCCACUGAAAAUUGGGAACAGAAAAGGGAGAGAAAGCAGUGGGAGAUCCAGAGGGUUGUCAAGCUUUGUUGAGGCUCCGUGGUGGGACUUAAAGAAGCGUGGGCUGCCAUACCCUCUGGAAUGACGACAUAUACAGAAUGGAAACAUAAACGUGAAAUAUAGAAUAUAAAUCAUUAAUGAGUUUUCAUUUAAUAACACUGACUUGAAUUAGAGGAGCUAUUAAAGACAUCAGUAAUGUGGAAGUAGAAACAGUGAGGCUUGAACUGGACAUUUAAAAGAGUGAAAGAAACCUUAAGGUAUUUAAGAUAAUACACUCCCCAAAUGAGGGGCAGAUCCUCGGGUCAAUCUGAGGCUGCUAUUGGGCCCUGCCAGAAGCCACAUGGAUGCCACUGAAGUUAAUUUUGAGUCCAAGUAAAUAUCUUCUCUCCUCUUUAUUAUCCUCUGAGUAGGACACAUACAGACACUGCCAGAUACAUUUUUAAAAGGCCUUUGUGCU